This 242-nucleotide ribosomal RNA is filed under the name uncultured bacterium. RNAcentral's name for it is "partial 16S ribosomal RNA". It matches the Rfam family "Bacterial small subunit ribosomal RNA", at positions 109 to 354 of the family's 1533-position model. The record is from RNAcentral.
AGUACAACAUAGGAAAUCUGCCUUAGGGUGGGGGACAACAGAGGGAAACUUCUGCUAAUACCCCAUAUGAGCUUGGUUGAAAUACCAAUCUUGAAAGUUCCGGCGCCCUAAGAUGAGCCUGUGCCUGAUUAGCUAGUUGGUGGUGUAAUGGACUACCAAGGCGACGAUCAGUAGCUGGUUUGAGAGGAUGAUCAGCCACAAUGGGACUGAGACACGGCCCAUACUCCUACGGGAGGCAGCAG